GUGAGUAUUGACGAAUAGAAAAAUUCAUAGAUAAUUAUUAAUAAAUAUCAAAGAUUUCGUCUUCUUCUUUUUCUUUCUCUUCUCUUUUUCUUCUUUUUUUUUCUUUUAUUUUUCUUCUCCUUCUCCUAUAUAUUUUUCUCUUUUUCCUUCUCCUCAUCACUCGUUCCCAUUCUAAUAAAUAUUUUCCCAAUUUUUAUAAAAAAAUUGGCAUCAAUUACAAUAAAU
Molecule: long non-coding RNA, 225 nt
Filed under: Vigna radiata
Lineage: Eukaryota; Viridiplantae; Streptophyta; Magnoliopsida; Fabales; Fabaceae
Description: long non-coding RNA (VRAD_LNC010942)
Source: RNAcentral